CCGACCCGCACGAAAGGCGUAACGAUUUGGGCACUGUCUCAACAACAGACGCGGUGAAAUUGUAAUUCCGGUGAAGAUGCCGGAUACCUGCGACAGGACGGAAAGACCCCAUGGAGCUUUACUGUAGCUUGACAUUGGGUCUUGGUACUACAUGUACAGGAUAGGUGGGAGGCUUUGAAACCAGGACGCCAGUUUUGGCGG
RNAcentral lists this ribosomal RNA (201 nucleotides) under Clostridioides difficile. RNAcentral's name for it is "partial 23S ribosomal RNA". It matches the Rfam family "Bacterial large subunit ribosomal RNA", at positions 1983 to 2183 of the family's 2925-position model. Lineage: Bacteria; Bacillati; Bacillota; Clostridia; Peptostreptococcales; Peptostreptococcaceae. The record is from RNAcentral.